GAGCGCACUCUUCGGAGUGAGCGGCGGACGGGUUAGUAACGCGUGGGAACGUGCCCUUCUCUAAGGAAUAGCCUCUGGAAACGGAGAGUAAUACCUUAUACGCCCUUUGGGGGAAAGAUUUAUCGGAGAAGGAUCGGCCCGCGUUAGAUUAGAUAGUUGGUGGGGUAAUGGCCUACCAAGUCUACGAUCUAUAGCUGGUUUGAGAGGAUGAUCAGCAACACUGGGACUGAGACACGGCCCAGACUUCUACGGAAGGCAGCAGUGGGGAAUCUUGGACAAUGGGCGCAAGCCUGAUCCAGCCAUGCCGCGUGAGUGAUGAAGGCCUUAGGG
This 330-nucleotide ribosomal RNA is filed under the name uncultured marine bacterium. Its description in RNAcentral is "bacterial SSU rRNA". It matches the Rfam family "Bacterial small subunit ribosomal RNA", at positions 64 to 422 of the family's 1533-position model. The record is from RNAcentral.